UGGGAUGUGGGUGUCUGAUGAACCUAC
RNAcentral lists this non-coding RNA (27 nucleotides) under Mus musculus (house mouse). The record is from RNAcentral. Lineage: Eukaryota; Metazoa; Chordata; Mammalia; Rodentia; Muridae.